This 403-nucleotide ribosomal RNA is filed under the name bacterium. RNAcentral describes it as "partial 16S ribosomal RNA". It matches the Rfam family "Bacterial small subunit ribosomal RNA", at positions 355 to 776 of the family's 1533-position model. The record is from RNAcentral.
UGGGGAAUAUUGCACAAUGGGGGAAACCCUGAUGCAGCGACGCCGCGUGAACGAAGAAGGUAUUCGUAUCGUAAAGUUCUGUCCUAUGGGAAGAUAAUGACAGUACCAUAGAAGAAAGCUCCGGCUAAAUACGUGCCAGCAGCCGCGGUAAUACGUAUGGAGCGAGCGUUGUCCGGAAUUAUUGGGCGUAAAGGGUACGCAGGCGGUUUAAUAAGUCGAAUGUUAAAGAUCGGGGCUCAACCCCGUAAAGCAUUGGAAACUGAUAAACUUGAGUAGUGGAGAGGAAAGUGGAAUUCUUAGUGUAGUGGUGAAAUACGUAGAUAUUAGGAGGAAUACCAGUAGCGAAGGCGACUUUCUGGACACAAACUGACGCUGAGGUACGAAAGCGUGGGGAGCAAACAGG